Molecule: long non-coding RNA, 1994 nt
Filed under: Salmo salar (Atlantic salmon)
Lineage: Eukaryota; Metazoa; Chordata; Actinopteri; Salmoniformes; Salmonidae
Description: lncRNA (ENSSSAG00000082354.1)
Source: RNAcentral
CCCAGGACUUCUACUUCAACAACAAAUGUGGUUUUGGUUCCAAAUAAUCCAUAGUUAUAUUCAAAUACCUCCGUUUUGUUCGUGCGUUCAGGUCACUAUCCGAAGGGUAACGCGUGAGCGCAUUUCGUGACAAUUUUUUCUAAAAUAUUCCAUUACCGUACUUAGAAGCAUGUCAAACGCUGUUUAACCUGUUAGGGCUAGGGGGCAGUAUUGACACGGCUGGAUAAAAAAACGUACCCGAUUUAAUCUGGUUACUACUCCUGCCCAGUAACUAGAAUAUGCAUAUAAUUAUUGGCUUUGGAUAGAAAACACUCCAAAGUUUCUAAAACUGUUUGAAUAGUGUCUGUGAGUAUAACAGAACUCAAAUGGCAGGUCAAAACCUGAGAAGAUUCUGUACAGGAAGUACCCUGUCUGACCAUUUCUUGGCCUUCUUUGCCAUCUCUAUCCAUUACAAAGGAUCUCUGCUGUUACGUGACACUUCCUACGGCUGCGAUAGGCUCUCAGAAGGCGGCAAAAAGCUGAAUCGUGGCUUUGCAGGCUCUGGCUGAAAAAAAGUAGCGCGUUUGGGUAGUGGCUGGUUACAGUACUGUGAGACUCAGGCGCGUGCCCGCGUCGACCGAAUGCUUUGUUUUCUUUCCUCUGUUUACCUAAACGGAGAUUCCCGGGCGGAAUAUUAUCGCUUUUUUACGAGAAAAAUGGCAUAAAAAUGGAUUUUAAACAGCGGUUGACAUGCUUCGAAGUACGGUAAUGGAAUAUUUAUACAUUUUUUGUCACGAAUUGCGCCAUGCUCGUAACCCUGAUUUACCAUUUCGGAUAGUGUCUGGAACGCACGAACAAAACGCAGCUAUUUGGAUAUAACGAUGGAUUAUUUUGGACCAAACCAACAUUUGUUAUUGAAGUAGCAGUCCUGGGAGUGCAUUCUGACGAAGACAACAAAGUCCUAGGUGUGUCAUCUGAUGAAGAUCAUCAAAGGUUAGUGCUGCAUUUAGCUGUCUCCUGGGUUUUUGUGACAUUAUAUGCUAGCUUGAAAAAUGGGUGUCUGAUUAUUUCUGGCUGGGUACUCUGCUGACAUAAUCUAAUGUUUUGCUUUCGUUGUAAAGCCUUUUUGAAAUCGGACAGUGUGGUUAGAUUAACGAGAGUCUUGUCUUUAAAAUGCUGUAAAAUAGUCAUAUGUUUGAGAAAUUGAAGUAAUAGCAUUUCUAAGGUAUUUGAAAUUCGCGCCACGGGAUUCAACUGGCUGUUGCGUAGGUGGGACGAAUUCGUCCUGCCUAGCCCAGAGAGGUUAAAAUGUAUUUUUAUGCUAUUUUUCUCGUAAAAUAGCGAUAAUAUUCCAACCGGGCAACGUUGUAUUCAUUCAAAGACUGAAAGAAAAAAAUGGAGAAGUCUCGUGAACGCGCAUCUCAGUCUCACUGUCCCCAGGCUGACCACUUACAAACUCUGCUGCUGUACUUUGCCCAGAGACAGCAGACACCCCAUUCCACUUUCUGGCGGUUUUAGAGAGCCAAUAGAAGCCUUAGAAAGUGUCACGUUACAGCACAGAUGCUGUAUUUUUGAUAGAGAUGCAACAGAAGGACAACAAAUUGUCAGACAGGGCACUUCCUGUAUGGAAUCUUCUCAGAUUUUGGCCUGCCAUUUUCGACCCGAUGAUUCGUCUGACAAACAAAGAACUUUGCGUCCUGCAGGCCCAGAUCAAAGCUGUCGAGACAUUCAAUGACGUCAUCUUCACAGACUAAUCAACUCUGGCCCUUGAGCAAUUUGCUCAAAAUUGCUACAGAAAAAAGGAAGAAGAUCAAGCAAGCCGAUUCCCAAGCAUCUGCUCAAACUCCAUGUGUGGGGGGCAAUUUCUCGCCAGAGACCAGGCCCAUAUUUGAUUUGAUGGUAUCAUGGCUCGAGAUUUUUUUGAGGAAGAAAUCAUCAAGAGAUAUGCUGGACCCUAUGUCCGAGAGACAAUGACCCAAAACACACUGCCUCCUGGGUUUGCAUUGCAAAUGAGG